CCGACUCCGGCUCAUCCUCCUCCUCCUCGCCGGCCGCCAAGUCAUCCUCCAAAUCCGCCGCCGCCCCCAUCGCCGCCCGCAACGCCGCCGCCCUCGCCGCCGCCAUGCUACUCAGGUUGCUCUGAUCAGUUGAUCUGGCUAGCAAUUCCGUUCUCCAUUAAGUCCAGUUUGGCUCAGAUCUUGUCAGAUUUUCUUUUCUCUGUUAAUUUAUUCCUCCCCCUCCUCCUUGGUUAAGCUUAAACAUUGGUUCUUGUGCGCUUGAUUGUUCCAUUUUCCAUUUUCUUAUUUUGUCGAUUUGAUUCCGAACGGUGUCUGGUCGAUGGUUGUAGUCGAGGUGUCAAAGAUUAUAAGUGUGAAUUGAACAAGAACUCCCCGGGUGCCC
Molecule: long non-coding RNA, 382 nt
Filed under: Triticum aestivum (bread wheat)
Lineage: Eukaryota; Viridiplantae; Streptophyta; Magnoliopsida; Poales; Poaceae
Description: long non-coding RNA (TAES_LNC024151)
Source: RNAcentral